This 23-nucleotide non-coding RNA is filed under the name Cricetulus griseus (Chinese hamster). Lineage: Eukaryota; Metazoa; Chordata; Mammalia; Rodentia; Cricetidae. The record is from RNAcentral.
CUCUCAAGUCGGGUUUCAUCCAG